GGGAUUAUCUGACAAUCUAAUAAGAAGCUUGUAUGAAAGUCUAAAAAAAACAUGUCAGUUGAAAUUAGGACUUGAUCCAGAGAUGUUAGCAUUAUUAAAGAAAGAGGGCAUUGUAUGCAAAUCCAGAAUAAAGACAGGUGUUAAAUAUUUAUACAUAAUUUUUCACAGAGUUUUAUUCUGCUUUGGCAAACGCACCUGAGACAUUUAUAUUAAAAUUGUUAUAAAUAAUUAAUAAGAAUUUAAAUAAAAUUCUAUUAUCUUAAGCUCCAG
This is a long non-coding RNA of Leptopilina boulardi, 270 nucleotides long. RefSeq lists it as uncharacterized. Lineage: Eukaryota; Metazoa; Arthropoda; Insecta; Hymenoptera; Figitidae. The record is from RefSeq and is a predicted model, not a curated record. The transcript is spliced from 3 exons.